This is a long non-coding RNA of Marmota monax (woodchuck), 3293 nucleotides long. RefSeq lists it as uncharacterized. The record is from RefSeq and is a predicted model, not a curated record. The transcript has 3 exons. NCBI's taxonomy places the organism in Eukaryota, Metazoa, Chordata, Mammalia, Rodentia, Sciuridae.
UCCUUGGGCCGCGCCGGAAACGAGCCAGGGUGGUUUCCGGCGUUGUCUCCAUUCUGUCUUGUUUUGCAUAUAUUUUUUAAAAAGCUAAGCUCGGGAAAAUUGGAUAGCCGGAAACCCUAGAUUCCUGUCCGUCGGGGUUUUCUUGCUAAAGCUGUCUGGCCCCUGGCAUUUGUAACCCCGUCUUCUGUGGACGCGUGGCCUUCCCCAGAGCACGCGCAAGGCUUUCCUGUGUCCAUUUUCCCUUUUUUUCUUUUGUGAAGACAAAGGAGUGCUGCACUUUAUAAGGAGCCAACCCAGCAUAAUACCCAGGAUUCAAAACAUGCCAAGAUACUCACUUCCAAAGAACAUGAAGAGCACGAAGAGCACUGGAUAGAAAUAGCUCAAGCAAACAGCAAGGGCAUACUCAUGCACUACAGCAGAUAUGGCAAAGACAGCUAACAUGGCAGCAGACUUGAACCUCUUUGAGAAAAACUAAGGUACAAGGACAAUCAGUAAACAGUCUUCCAAAUCAGCACUGAUCGAUGUAUUUAAAAAUAAGUAUCAUCUCUACAGAAUGUAACAUGUCUUCCUAGUGAACACUAAAGGCUGAAAUAUCCUAUAACUCUAAUGGAAUUACAUACUCGACUUCUCCUUAGCUGCAUGCAGUACCCGUGGCACAUUCUCUCUGACAAAUGAGUGAGCCUUCAUUAUCAAACGAAUCUACAAAAGGAAGAGGGAAAAGAUGAAUUUUCUAUCAUUGCCUUAUCUCCUAUAAGCAACCCCAGAACUAGAUUAUAUUGACACUAAAGAACUUCACUUUUAUGGAAUAAAGCAAAUUAAAAAAACAAACCCUAAAGGACAUGUAAUUACCCAAAUUAUUCUGUACCUAACAGCAUUAUUAAUAUAAAUAUUAUAAUAAUCUAAAUUAAGAAAUUAAGUCUGUUCAAGAUGGAGGUAGUGGUGCAUGCUAUAAUCCCAGUGACUCAGGAGGCUGAAGCAAAAGGAUCUCCAUCUAGGCUCAGCAACUUAGCGAGACCUUAUCUCAAAAUUAAAAGUAAAAGGGUCUGGGUAGCUUAGUGGUAGAGUGCCCCUGGGUUCAAUCUCCAAUACAAAAAAAAAAGAAAAAAAAAGAAAUCAAGUCUGUUCAAAGAAAUUCUGAAUUGGUCUUUAUUAGUCAAAUAGUGCUACAGACAAUAUAUGUUAGAAAAUUCUAAAGGAUAUAUUAAAAAAUUGAGAUAAGGGCUGGGGCUGUAGCUCAGUGAUAGAGCGCCUGCCUCGCACUUGUGAGGCACUAGGUUCAAUCUUCAGGACCACAGAAAAAUAAAUAAAGAUAUUGUGUCCAUCUAAAACUAAAAUAAAUAAAUAAAUAAAAUAAAAAUAAAAAUUGAGAUAAAUCUCUUACUUAGAAGGAAAUAGUUACAUGACAAUACAAUGAGUUUUAUUUUUUAUACCUUUAUUUUAUUUAUUUAUUUAUUUAUUUUAAUUUUUUUUAAUAUUUAUUUUUUAGUUAUCGGAGGACACAACAUCUCUGUUUUGUAUGUGGUGCUGAGGAUCGAACCCAGGCCGCACGCAUGCCAGGCGAGCGCGCUACCGCUUGAGCCACAUCCCCAGCCCAUUUAUUUUUAUGUGAUGCUGAGGCUCGAACCCAGGGCCUCACACAUGCUAAGUGAGCACUCGACCGCCGAGCCACAGCCCCAGCCCAAAAGUGGAGUUUUAAAUUACAAAGAUAUUUAAUCAUCUAGAUGAUUUUUACAAAAAGUAUUUGGGGGAAAAAAUUUAAUUCAUCCAGAACUGUUCAAUAUAAUUUAUUUCAAUUACUAACAUCUAGAGAACACUGGAGCUAGAAUGAAUUUUAAAAGAUAAGAUGAUAUGCCAGGAACGGUAGUGCACACCUAUAAUCCUAGUGACUCGGGAGGCUGAGGCAGGAGGAUCAUAAGUUCAAAGCUAGUCUCAGCAAAGCGAGGCUCUAAGCAAUUAACUGAGACCCUCAGUUAAAAUACAAAAUAGGGCUGGGGAUGUGACCCAGUGAUCGAGCACCUCUGAGUUCAAUCCCCAGUCCCCCUCCAAAAAAAAAAAAAAAAAAAGAUGAGAUAAUAUAGUUCAGCACUUAAAUUCUACAUCUCCUGGCACACAGUGCCAUAUAUGAAAACUUACCCAUGUUAAUACAGCUAAAAAUAAUACCACUAUUAUGUCAUUAUUGUUAUUAUUAUUUAACUAAGCACAGCACCCUUUUGGGUAACACUAAAAAUCUUACCUGUUCAAGUAUAACAAUGAACCGAGAAGCUGGUGGUAGUGUAUAUGCUAAUACAACAUAUGUUGGUCCAAACCCUAGAAUUCCAAGCUGGAAGACCAUAAAAAUCAAGCCAUGGACAAGAGAAUAGAUCACUGGAUGAGAACUCCUGCUGUAGCCAUCGGCCCAAUGUUGAAACAGGAAAUAGGGAAUUGAAAGCGUACACAGGAACAUGAUACACCAUGUCCAAACAACAGUAGAAAAUUUACCAAAAGCAUAAGACAGGAGAUUGAACUCAAGUACUAGCCUGGAGAGGAAAAAGCAGAGAGGAAGAAUAGAGAAGUUAGUUUCUAAUAUGUACAGAAUUCAAAACUUUCAGACCCCAAACUUUCAAUCCUCAUAAACAAUACAAUAUUAAUACACUGAACAUAAUUACACUGGAUAUAAUGGCUCGCUGGACAGAGACCUGUGUCUAACCCUCUCUCUGCUUCACAACAUAUCAACAACAAACUCUCUAAAAGCCCUAUUUGGCUAUGAACUCAAGAUACCUAAGGUGAUAGACAUGGCCUUGAACUUCUGAAAGAUCAGAUUCUUACAUUAGUAUUUUAAAACCAAAAUAUUAAGUGGCAAAAUAUUCAAUAACAAUUAUUUUUAUGUACAAAAGAUGAUUUUUCAGAAGGAAAUAGGUAUGAUUCAAAAGACUACUAAUAUACUAUUUUACCAUUAUUUCAAAAUUGAAUUUUUAAAAAAAGCAUGCACAUUCAAUUUAUGACUACCACACUGCUAUUUUUUAAGUUAUAUUCAAUAUUUAUUUAGUUUGUUUGUAUACUGGGGAUUGAACACACAUAGUAAAGACUUUUCUUUUAAAGUAGUUUAGAAGAUAAUUCACCUUUCAAAAACAUCUCAAAAUAUUAAUCCUCACCUACACCUCCAGCCAUUUCUAUUUAUUUAUAUUUUUGAGACACUGUCUAAAAUACUUGUGAUUCUCCUGCCUCAGCUUCUUGAGUAGCUUGGGUAACAGGUGUGCACCACUGCACCCCCUUACACUUGAUUUUUUUUUCAAUAAAUAUUUUUUAAUUGUUGA